CACCAGACUCCUACGGGAGGCAGCAGUAAGGGAUAUUGGUCAAUGGGGGAAACCCUGAACCAGCAACGCCGCGUGAGGGAAGACGGUUUUCGGAUUGUAAACCUCUGUCCUCUGUGAAGAUGAUGACGGUAGCAGAGGAGGAAGCUCCGGCUAACUACGUGCCAGCAGCCGCGGUAAUACGUAGGGGGCAAGCGUUAUCCGGAUUUACUGGGUGUAAAGGGAGCGUAGACGGCUGCGCAAGUCAGAAGUGAAAGCCCGGGGCUCAACCGCGGGACUGCUUUUGAAACUGUAUAGCUAGAGUGCAGGAGAGGUAAGUGGAAUUCCUAGUGUAGCGGUGAAAUGCGUAGAUAUCAGGAGGAACACCGGCGGCGAAGGCGGCCUGCUGGACCGCGACUGACGUUGAGGCUCGAAAGCGUAGGGAGCGAACAGGAUUAGAUACCCGGGUAUU
This 448-nucleotide ribosomal RNA is filed under the name uncultured bacterium. Its description in RNAcentral is "bacterial SSU rRNA". It matches the Rfam family "Bacterial small subunit ribosomal RNA", at positions 329 to 794 of the family's 1533-position model. The record is from RNAcentral.